UACAGAGGUCCCAAGCGUUGUCCGGAUUUACUGGGCGUAAAGAGCGCGCAGGCGGUUGUGCAAGUCGCGUGUGAAAGCCCCCGGCUCAACUGGGGAGGGUCACGCGAUACUGUUCGACUUGAAGGCAGGAGAGGGAAGUGGAAUUCCCGGUGUAGUGGUGAAAUGCGUAGGUAUCGGGAGGAACACCAGUGGCGAAGGCGACUUCCUGGCCUGUUCUUGACGCUGAGGCGCGAAAGCUAGGGUAGCAAACGGG
Molecule: ribosomal RNA, 253 nt
Filed under: uncultured bacterium
Lineage: Bacteria
Description: partial 16S ribosomal RNA
Rfam family: Bacterial small subunit ribosomal RNA
Source: RNAcentral